RNAcentral lists this ribosomal RNA (429 nucleotides) under Acidobacteriota bacterium. RNAcentral describes it as "Acidobacteria bacterium partial 16S ribosomal RNA". It matches the Rfam family "Bacterial small subunit ribosomal RNA", at positions 355 to 776 of the family's 1533-position model. The record is from RNAcentral. Lineage: Bacteria; Pseudomonadati; Acidobacteriota.
UGGGGAAUUUUGGACAAUGGGGGAAACCCUGAUCCAGCCAUCCCGCGUGUGCGAUGAAGGCCUUCGGGUUGUAAAGCACUUUUGGCAGGAAAGAAACGUCAUGGGUUAAUACCCCGUGAAACUGACGGUACCUGCAGAAUAAGCACCGGCUAACUACGUGCCAGCAGCCGCGGUAAUACGUAGGGUGCAAGCGUUAAUCGGAAUUACUGGGCGUAAAGCGUGCGCAGGCGGUUCGGAAAGAAAGAUGUGAAAUCCCAGAGCUCAACUUUGGAACUGCAUUUUUAACUACCGGGCUAGAGUGUGUCAGAGGGAGGUGGAAUUCCGCGUGUAGCAGUUAAAUGCGUAGAUAUGCGGAGGAACACCGAUGGCGAAGGCAGCCUCCUGGGAUAACACUGACGCUCAUGCACGAAAGCGUGGGGAGCAAACAGG